This 253-nucleotide ribosomal RNA is filed under the name uncultured bacterium. Its description in RNAcentral is "partial 16S ribosomal RNA". It matches the Rfam family "Bacterial small subunit ribosomal RNA", at positions 524 to 776 of the family's 1533-position model. The record is from RNAcentral.
UACGUAGGGCGCAAGCGUUGUCCGGAAUUAUUGGGCGUAAAGAGCGCGUAGGUGGCUUGUCGCGUCUGCCGUGAAAGCCCAUGGCUUAACUGUGGGUCUGCGGUGGAUACGGGCUGGCUAGAGGUAGGUAGGGGCAAGCGGAAUUCCUGGUGUAGCGGUGAAAUGCGCAGAUAUCAGGAGGAACACCGGUGGCGAAGGCGGCUUGCUGGGCCGCGCCUGACGCUGAGGAGCGAAAGCGUGGGGAGCGAACAGG